Molecule: long non-coding RNA, 1069 nt
Organism: Anas platyrhynchos (mallard)
Lineage: Eukaryota; Metazoa; Chordata; Aves; Anseriformes; Anatidae
Source: RefSeq, a predicted model, not a curated record
AAAAACCUUGAAUGUCAAAAAUACUGACUAGAAUUCAGUGUGGUUGGGAACAGUUGCAAUACCCAUGGCUUGAACAGGGAACAAGCAAUUGUUCAAGACAGCAGCAAAAGCCUGAACACAGAAUGGUCUUUCUGAAGCUGAAAGGCCAGGAGCAAUGCUGGAAUGUGAGCUUCUCUAGAGCUCUGUAAAUGAUCUCCCCUUGGUCCCAGAGGAUCAUCCUCUCACAGGGAAGGAUGUCAUUGGCUGGAAACAUCUGUCAUCUACAAAGAAAUACCCAUGGCUCACACCUUUUACUGUAUUUAACAAAGUCUGUACAUCAGAUAUGUCAGAAAAUUCCUCUGCCUCUGGAUGAACAGUGUCAGCAUUUGACUUAGCAGAAAGCCCUACAUUGCUGUGCAGAGGUCCUUUGUGCUGCCACCCUGUUAUACUGGUGGUCUGAUGUACAUGGCUUUAGUGGAGGAUUCUCAAUGACAUUUCACCUGACCAUGGAUCCAAGAGUCUCCUUAAGACUUCAACAGAGAUCGUUCUCAAUGGGAGGUUACAAAGUCCUUAUAUAACAACAAGUUAUUUAUUUUUGCUUAGAGAAAGUUAUCUAUCCUGUUUGAAAAAAUGUCUUAUGAUAACCUGACGAUUCAACAGUUUUAAGGCAAUUUUGAGGGGAAUGAAGGGAAAAAAAAAGGCAAGAAACUAUCUAAAAGGAAAGACAACCAGGUGAGGGAGAAAACACUAAAAUUAACUGCAGGGUGUCAUGAUAUGCUUUCUAGAUAGGCACAUUUGCCAUUAAGAUGAGGUUGCCAGCAAAAGUAAGUACCAUAUUUUCUUCCUGAAAGACCAAUUUAUCUUCUGGCAGUAAAUAGGUAACACUCACUUUCUCAUGUGAUGUAGUAGUGCCUGGCAGCCUUUAGAAAGGUUUGCUUUGUAUUGCUGCUUGCCUGACUGCUGCUCUCCUGCCCUGAUGAAGGCAAUGUUUGUGUCAUGGUUGGAUUUGUAAACAAAAUGUUCUAAUGACUUACCAUGAGAGUUUGAUUAAAGCCCUUGAACAGACCAAGAAUUGCAUGCAUGGAAUUAG